Non-coding RNA from Nicotiana tabacum (common tobacco), 590 nucleotides. The record is from RefSeq and is a predicted model, not a curated record. Lineage: Eukaryota; Viridiplantae; Streptophyta; Magnoliopsida; Solanales; Solanaceae.
UCUCUCUAAACUCUCAAAACCUUGAAGACCGUCUCUCUCAGCCUCAACCUAGAACACAUCACCAUCGACGAACUCUGCCGGCCAGCUCCGGUGAAGGACGACAACUGUCGAUGGAUGACGACCAGUUUCGGCUAACAUAUGAGCAAUCUCCGAGGUAGGCUAAACCUUGAAGACAUCGGCUCUCUCAGCCUCAACCCAGAACACAUCGACCUCACCAUCGACGAACUCUGUCGGCCAGCUCCGAUGUAGGAUGACAACUGCCGGUGAAUGACGACCAGUUUCGGCUAACAUACGAGCAAUCUCCGAGCUACACAGAGAAAGAAUAUAGAGGUCGUUGAAUCUGUUGGUGUAGCAGGAAAAUCUGAUCCCGAUAGGAAAGUCAAGCACUUCACACUGGAGGUAAGUGUACUUUUUCCUUUCUCCCACAACAUAGUAUCUAGCUGCUUUCCUCAAUGAGUGUUGAGUACAAAGGGCCAGUUAAAUUUCCAAGCGGAACUGCAAAUUGUGACAUUGUAAUCUCUAUCAAAAGAAAGGUGGAGAGAUGUGAUGUAUCUGAGCGUGUUAAUAAAUGGAAUGCUAUUUUGAUGAUA